Molecule: ribosomal RNA, 420 nt
Filed under: uncultured microorganism
Description: bacterial SSU rRNA
Rfam family: Bacterial small subunit ribosomal RNA
Source: RNAcentral
GAGUUUGAUCGUGGCUCAGAUUGAACGCUGGCGGCAGGCCUAACACAUGCAAGUCGAACGGUAACAGGAAACAGCUUGCUGUUUCGCUGACGAGUGGCGGACGGGUGAGUAAUGUCUGGGAAACUGCCUGAUGGAGGGGAUAACUACUGGAAACGGUAGCUAAUACCGCAUAACGUCGCAAGACCAAAGAGGGGGACCUUCGGGCCUCUUGCCAUCGGAUGUGCCCAGAUGGGAUUAGCUAGUAGGUGGGGUAACGGCGUCACCUAGGCGACGAUCCCUAGCUGGUCUGGGAGGAUGACCAGCCACACUGGAACUGAGACACGGUCCAGACUCCUACGGGAGGCAGCAGUGGGGAAUAUUGCACAAUGGGCGCAAGCCUGAUGCAGCCAUGCCGCGUGUAUGAAGAAGGCCUUCGGGUUG